GUAGGUGAACCUGCGGAAGGAUCAUUACAGAGUUCAUGCCCUUACGGGUAGAUCUCCCACCCUUGAAUAUCUUACCUUUGUUGCUUUGGCGGGUCGCUUCGGCCACCGGCUUUCAGCUGGUGAGUGCCCGCCAGAGGACCCUAAACUCCGAAUUUAGUAUUGUCUGAGAACUAUAUAAUAGUUAAAACUUUCAACAACGGAUCUCUUGGUUCUG
Molecule: unclassified non-coding RNA, 214 nt
Filed under: rhizosphere metagenome
Description: partial ribosomal RNA internal transcribed spacer region
Source: RNAcentral